This is a non-coding RNA of Pelobates cultripes (western spadefoot toad), 213 nucleotides long. Lineage: Eukaryota; Metazoa; Chordata; Amphibia; Anura; Pelobatidae. The record is from the annotation of a GenBank genome assembly.
GGUUAGCCAGGCAUGAAUGCAUGUCAGGCUGCCCGCCAAUUAAGCAGGCCAAUCCAUCAAGGGUUAAGCAUGCAGAGCGUACGGUUUCAGUGUUCUCUGCAUGGUCCUAGUGCCCUGAGCAUACUCCAAACUAAUGAUGUGCUUGUGCUAUGCCUUUUGAGGAUAGUUUCCUGGUGUCUCCAAAAGUAGGACACAAGGGAACAUGGUCAGGAC